GAUAUUUUGAAGUUAUAGAAUGAGUGGAUAGUCUUGAUCUUACUGAUAUAGAGUAACUUGUGUGUGUUUAAAUUUAUACUAAUAUUUUUCACAGGUGAAAAAAUGAAAAUCUGAUCUUUUGUAAUAUAUGUGGACUUUCCAAGACUUCUAAGAUCACAAAUGAAUUUAUUUGAUCAGAAUUUAGAGAAAGAAUAUGAUAUGUCUGCCAUUCAGUGUUCAUUAUGCUCAGGUAUAAUACAUCAAAUCUUCAGCACUAAAAUAGAGUGGGAAGUCAUCAGUAAAACCUGAGUCAGUGUCCAUCACCUGUACAACUUGCUAUGGAAGAAGCUUGAGCCACUCACUGCUCCAUUGCUAUCCAUUGGCAUGCUAAAUCAAAUGUUUGCCUGGAAACAUUCAUCAAAGCUGCUGCAAUGCAAUCGUCUAUAUAAACAGUUUAUUUCACUGGCAAGAAGAUAGCUAACAUUCGUUUUCUCCAGAUGCUUCAGAGUUUCCUGUGACUUCAAACUGUUUCUUGCUACCCAUUUGCUUCAGUUGUCUUCAUAGAACACUGGACUUAAAGGAAGGGAAUGUGUAUCACACGUAACCAUAAGGAAGAAGGGUCAUGAUUAAACCUGUUUCUGAUCUGCUACAAGUAUGAAGUUGUGAAAGUAAAUGUCAUUAACCUAGUUCAUGAGAUCUGCCUUUAAUCACAUAUAGCAAAUGAACAAAAGAUUUCCAUCCAGUCCCCAUACCUUCUUGUAUCUUAGCUCUCCUUUCUUCUGCUUUCUUUUUCUUAUUAUGUUUGUGUUUCUUACUUACAUUUCAUGCAUCAUAAACU
Non-coding RNA from Rattus norvegicus (Norway rat), 817 nucleotides. The record is from RefSeq and is a predicted model, not a curated record. NCBI's taxonomy places the organism in Eukaryota, Metazoa, Chordata, Mammalia, Rodentia, Muridae.